This 330-nucleotide unclassified non-coding RNA is filed under the name Hevea brasiliensis (rubber tree). The record is from RNAcentral. Lineage: Eukaryota; Viridiplantae; Streptophyta; Magnoliopsida; Malpighiales; Euphorbiaceae.
GAUCUCCAGAAGGAUCCUCCUACGUCUUGCAGUGCAGGCCCAGUAGCUGAAGACAUGUUCCAUUGGCAAGCAACAAUUAUGGGCCCUCCUGACAGUCCUUAUGCAGGAGGAGUGUUUCUUGUCAACAUUCACUUCCCUCCAGAUUAUCCGUUUAAACCACCCAAGGUUGCAUUCAGAACAAAAGUCUUUCAUCCCAAUAUCAACAGCAACGGUAGCAUAUGCCUCGACAUACUUAAGGAACAGUGGAGUCCUGCACUAACCAUUUCCAAGGUGUUACUUUCGAUCUGCUCACUGCUAACGGACCCGAAUCCUGAUGAUCCUUUGGUGCCA